AGAGUUUGAUCAUGGCUCAGAAUCAACGCUGGCGGCGUGCCUAACACAUGCAAGUCGAACGAGAAAGCUUGGUAGCAAUACCGGGUGAGUAAAGUGGCGCACGGGUGAGUAACACGUGGAUAACCUACCUCCGAAUGGGGAAUAACCCUGGGAAACCGGGGCUAAUACCGCAUAAUAUCCCGAUACUUCGGUAAUGGGAUUGAAACUUGGUAACGAGGUUUGGAGAGGGGUCCGCGGCUGAUUAGCUAGUUGGUGAGGUAAUGGCCCACCAAGGCUAUGAUCGGUAGCCGGCCUGAGAGGGCGGACGGCCACACUGGAACUGAAACACGGUCCAGACUCCUACGGGAGGCAGCAGUGGGGAAUUUUGCGCAAUGGGGGCAACCCUGACGCAGCAACGCCGCGUGGACGAUGAAGCAUCUUGGUGUGUAAAGUCCUUUCGGCAGGGACGAAACCCGAGCAAUCGGGCGGACGGUACCUGAAGAAGAAGCCCCGGCUAACUCCGUGCCAGCAGCCGCGGUAAUACGGGGGGGGCGAGCGUUGUUCGGAAUUAUUGGGCGUAAAGGGAGCGUAGGCGGUGCGGUAAGACUGGUGUGAAACCUUCAGGCUUAACUUGGAGCUUGCAUCAGUGACUGCCGUGCUAGAGUGCGGGAGAGGAUAGUGGAAUUCCCGGUAGCGGUGAAAUGCGUAGAUAUCGGGAGGAACAUCGGUGGCGAAGGCGGCUAUCUGGACCGUAACUGACGCUGAGGCUCGAAAGCUAGGGGAGCAAACAGGAUUAGAUACCCUAGUAGUCC
RNAcentral lists this ribosomal RNA (791 nucleotides) under uncultured bacterium. RNAcentral describes it as "bacterial SSU rRNA". It matches the Rfam family "Bacterial small subunit ribosomal RNA", at positions 8 to 796 of the family's 1533-position model. The record is from RNAcentral.